Long non-coding RNA from Phyllostomus discolor (pale spear-nosed bat), 96 nucleotides. RefSeq lists it as uncharacterized. The transcript has 4 exons. The record is from RefSeq and is a predicted model, not a curated record. NCBI's taxonomy places the organism in Eukaryota, Metazoa, Chordata, Mammalia, Chiroptera, Phyllostomidae.
CCUUCCUGGUGUGAGAAAGGAACCAGGCCUAAAAGAGAAUGAUAGUUAAAUCUGGAUGAGUAGAAAUGUGUGUAAAGAAUAUAAAAGUUUAAACCU